RNAcentral lists this transfer-messenger RNA (397 nucleotides) under Bacteroidota bacterium. RNAcentral describes it as "Bacteroidetes bacterium transfer-messenger RNA". It matches the Rfam family "transfer-messenger RNA". From Rfam's summary of the family: Bacterial tmRNA, also known as 10Sa RNA or SsrA, is named for its dual tRNA and mRNA-like properties. Its role is to liberate the mRNA from a stalled ribosome. The record is from RNAcentral. Lineage: Bacteria; Pseudomonadati; Bacteroidota.
GGGGCCGACUGGUUUUGACAGCGGGAUCGAGGGUUAUGUAAGCAGGUCGAGCGUUUUGUGAUAUGGCUCGUAAAUACCAAUUCACAUUUUUUAAUUGGCGAAAAUAACUACGCUCUUGCAGCCUAAUCAACCAAGUUGAUUUUGCUUAAUCCAUCCCGCAAGGCGGGCGGACAAGAUGUUUUCGGGGGUACUUUUUCUGACAGUAAACCCAAUGAAGGCACUGACGAGUUCAGAAUAGGCGCGGGAAUACCUUGCACCAAGCCGAAAUAAAAAGGAUAAGCCGGGUAGUCGGUAGUCGAUGGCCAGCUCCCGGACGAAAACCAAGCAUCGUCUAAACCUGUAGAAAGCUUAAUGUUCGCCUGUUUGGACGAGGGUUCGAAUCCCUCCGGCUCCACAA